This 72-nucleotide transfer RNA is filed under the name Ovis aries (sheep). It matches the Rfam family "tRNA". Rfam says of the family: Transfer RNA (tRNA) molecules are approximately 80 nucleotides in length. Their secondary structure includes four short double-helical elements and three loops (D, anti-codon, and T loops). The record is from Rfam by way of RNAcentral. Lineage: Eukaryota; Metazoa; Chordata; Mammalia; Artiodactyla; Bovidae.
UCCCUGAUGGUUUAGACAAUAAAGAAUCUGCCUGCAAUGCAGGAUACCCAGGUUUAAUUCCUGGGUUGGGAA